CGAAAGCCUGACGCAGCGAUGCCGCGUGCGGGAUGAAGGCCUUCGGGUUGUAAACCGCUUUCAGCAGGGACGAAAUUGACGGUACCUGCAGAAGAAGCCCCGGCCAACUACGUGCCAGCAGCCGCGGUAAUACGUAGGGGGCGAGCGUUGUCCGGAUUUAUUGGGCGUAAAGAACUCGUAGGCGGUUCGAUAAGUCGGAUGUGAAAUCUCCACGCUCAACGUGGAGAGGCCAUUCGAUACUGUCGUGACUCGAGUCCGGUAGGGGAGUGUGGAAUUCCCGGUGUAGCGGUGAAAUGCGCAGAGAUCGGGAGGAACACCCGUAGCGAAGGCGGCACUCUGGGCCGGUACUGACGCUGAGGAGCGAAAGCGUGGGGGAGCAAACAGGAUUAGAUACCCUGGUAGUCCACGCCGUAAACGUUGGACACUAGGUGUGGGACUCUAUCGACGGGUUCCGUGCCGUAGCUAACGCAUUAAGUGCCCCGCCUGGGGAGUACGGCCGCAAGGCUA
RNAcentral lists this ribosomal RNA (507 nucleotides) under uncultured Actinomycetes bacterium. RNAcentral describes it as "bacterial SSU rRNA". It matches the Rfam family "Bacterial small subunit ribosomal RNA", at positions 376 to 896 of the family's 1533-position model. Lineage: Bacteria; Bacillati; Actinomycetota; Actinomycetes. The record is from RNAcentral.